Molecule: ribosomal RNA, 589 nt
Filed under: Fusarium sp. NRRL 43376
Lineage: Eukaryota; Fungi; Ascomycota; Sordariomycetes; Hypocreales; Nectriaceae
Also listed under: 48 other names
Description: eukaryotic LSU rRNA
Rfam family: Eukaryotic large subunit ribosomal RNA
Source: RNAcentral
UUGACCUCGGAUCAGGUAGGAAUACCCGCUGAACUUAAGCAUAUCAAUAAGCGGAGGAAAAGAAACCAACAGGGAUUGCCCUAGUAACGGCGAGUGAAGCGGCAACAGCUCAAAUUUGAAAUCUGGCUCUCGGGCCCGAGUUGUAAUUUGUAGAGGAUACUUUUGAUGCGGUGCCUUCCGAGUUCCCUGGAACGGGACGCCAUAGAGGGUGAGAGCCCCGUCUGGUUGGAUGCCAAAUCUCUGUAAAGUUCCUUCAACGAGUCGAGUAGUUUGGGAAUGCUGCUCUAAAUGGGAGGUAUAUGUCUUCUAAAGCUAAAUACCGGCCAGAGACCGAUAGCGCACAAGUAGAGUGAUCGAAAGAUGAAAAGCACUUUGAAAAGAGAGUUAAAAAGUACGUGAAAUUGUUGAAAGGGAAGCGUUUAUGACCAGACUUGGGCUUGGUUAAUCAUCUGGGGUUCUCCCCAGUGCACUUUUCCAGUCCAGGCCAGCAUCAGUUUUCCCCGGGGGAUAAAGGCGGCGGGAAUGUGGCUCUCUUCGGGGAGUGUUAUAGCCCACCGUGUAAUACCCUGGGGGGGACUGAGGUUCGCGC